This 1236-nucleotide long non-coding RNA is filed under the name Triticum aestivum (bread wheat). Its description in RNAcentral is "long non-coding RNA (TAES_LNC007232)". The record is from RNAcentral. Lineage: Eukaryota; Viridiplantae; Streptophyta; Magnoliopsida; Poales; Poaceae.
CGGCUCCAUGGAGCCUGAUUUUUAAAAAAAAAAAUACAAAAACCAAAUUUAAGAUUUAUUUUUUGACAAAAGUUACGCAUGAAUAUAAGGAUGUAUAUUAUAUUACAUCUCGGUACAUUUUCCCGAUGAUUACGUUGUGGUUCAAGCUACACACUAGAAAUCAUGUCUUUCUAGCACAUAUACUAUUCACUAUAAAAGUUUAUGAUUUUCUUUUUUAUACGGAUCACACUAAAAUGCUUUUGAUCGAUGAGAGUUUACAUAAAUGUGGUAUAUAUCAAAAAAUUUGUUGUAUAUUUUCGGAAUAUUUUGAUUUUGAAUUUUUCAAAAACACAACUCAAUGGAGCUUGGGAGCAAAAAAUACACUCUCAAAUUAAAAAUAGUAGGGCACUACAUAGAAAUAUUUGACACAUGGAUAAGUUUUUGUACAUACAAGCAUGUAUAAAAAAUUACACAAUCAUAUUCAUGUAUACCGUUUCCUUGUAAAUUAGGAUUUCUUGAAUUCUGCAAGGGAAUAUAAGAAUUUGUCAGUACAAAAAAUAAAAUUGAAAGGCAUAAGCAAUGUAGACACACGUAAUACAUACAUUACACAUUGUAGUAUUUUUUAGUUAUGGUAAAAAAGGAAUGAUAUCACACAUGCACACUUUUCAAACAAUAUCAUCCACAAAACAUCACUAAUGAACUAGUUUAGUCCUCUGAAAAAAGAACCGGUUAUAAGCAAUAUAGUCACAUAGCAUACUCAGUAAUCAACCAUGACCAAUGCUAAACCUGAUCGCUAGAGUAGCAAUAAAACUAUUUGUUAUAUUUUUUUGAUGACUUGAUUUAUGAGAAGACACAUAUAGUAUUACCUAAACUACCCAUUAUAUUUUCUCUAGAUAGAAGACGGGAAAAAGGGGCAUGUUUGUCCUCAGAUAGACAUUCAAAACUUAAAGGAUAUAAAUAUACUAACCUGAGUUGUCACAGAAGUAUCCACGAAUCUCUCCCUUUUUCCUUGAGAAAGCACCACUUCAGAAUCUACUUCCGGUUCACCACCAUGAUCUAUUUCUUGGAUUUCUCCAAAACUAUCUGUAAGUGUCCUCUCACUAUCACUCAGGGCUCUCUCGGGGAAAUCACUCAAAUCUUGUGGAUUUUCCUUCAUCUGGCUUCUUGAUUCCCUUGCUUCCUUAGUAGCAUAGAUACAACCAUGGGGAUUUUUGUCCAUCUCUCUUCUCUAGAUCUAUCGGUUGUUUUGAGUUGAGG